UCUUAUUCAUGAAAAUAUUUCAAAAACUUUGGUAGAGAAUGUAAGAAAGGCGGUAAUGGCUUCAUUUUUCUUGAUAUGGAUACAGCAAGCUGCUGAUUUAGCUCUUUGAAGACUGGGAUUUGAGUAGAAUAGCUGGAAAGGAACCUUCAAAGGUCAUCCAGUCCCACUGCCUGACCACUUCAGCUCGUGCAACAUGGCCACAGUAACAAGACAGGCAAUGCUUCUGUUUAAAAGUGAUUUCAAUUUUUGAGGAGUCUAAAGGUCAUCCAGGCAUCUGGAUAUGCAAAUCCAGCUUUGGAAGAGCUACUCCUCGAUGUGGAGGAUACUUUUGGAUCUGGAUGUUUGGCCUUCUUGAAAAUCUGUCACUGUGCAUAAUUUUCCUGAGAUUUCUGGAAGAACUCAGCAUGCUCCAUGUUCAGUUGAUUUGCCCUGGAACAGCAGGGGUAAAUCUUCUUUGGAUACAAAACAAUGAAGAUGUAUGGAAGAAGAAUGGAAGAAGAAUACAUCAGCUGAUUGCAUGAUCUCCAUGAUUAUAUGACAAAAGGAAAAAAAAAGUAAGGGCAAAGCUGAACCAUAAGCAAAGCUUUGGGAAUAGAGUUUGGAUGCCCACAUUCUAAGUGUAUUUCAUUAAACAAUCGCAAAGGAACAUUUCAUUAAACUGUAGAACAUCCUGAGAUGGAAGAGACCCACAAGGAUGGAUGAGUCCUAAUCCUGACUCCACACAGGACCAUCCAAAAUGAAACGAAAGGGAUGUAAUUUUGUUAAAAGAAAAUACAUCAUGGAAAAUAUCUUCAGAAAUACAUUAGUGAUAUUUACUUGGUAUUGGUUUGAUGUAAUGAAUUUAUUAUAAAUUUGCACUUGAUAUCUUAACACAGAUCAAUAAAGCAGAGAUAAAUCUAAUGUUUUUAAGAGGG
RNAcentral lists this long non-coding RNA (914 nucleotides) under Phasianus colchicus (ring-necked pheasant). RNAcentral's name for it is "lncRNA (ENSPCLG00000006523.1)". Lineage: Eukaryota; Metazoa; Chordata; Aves; Galliformes; Phasianidae. The record is from RNAcentral.